AGUGAACGCUGGCGGUAGGCCUAACACAUGCAAGUCGAACGGCAGCACAGUAAGAGCUUGCUCUUACGGGUGGCGAGUGGCGGACGGGUGAGGAAUACAUCGGAAUCUACUUUUUCGUGGGGGAUAACGUAGGGAAACUUACGCUAAUACCGCAUACGACCUACGGGUGAAAGCAGGGGAUCUUCGGACCUUGCGCGAUUGAAUGAGCCGAUGUCGGAUUAGCUAGUUGGCGGGGUAAAGGCCCACCAAGGCGACGAUCCGUAGCUGGUCUGAGAGGAUGAACGGCAACAGAGAAACUGGGACACGGUCCAAACGCCUACGGGAGGCAGCGUUGGGGAAUAUUGGAAAAGGGGCGAAAGCCUGAUCCAGCCAUACCGCGUGGGUGAAGAAGGCCUUCGGGUUGUAAAGCCCUUUUGUUGGGAAAAAAAAGCAGCAGGUUAAUACCCCGCUGUUCUGACGGUACCCAAAGAAUAAGCACCGGCUAACUUCGG
This 491-nucleotide ribosomal RNA is filed under the name uncultured bacterium. Its description in RNAcentral is "partial 16S ribosomal RNA". It matches the Rfam family "Bacterial small subunit ribosomal RNA", at positions 29 to 506 of the family's 1533-position model. The record is from RNAcentral.